Molecule: ribosomal RNA, 749 nt
Filed under: Delftia acidovorans
Lineage: Bacteria; Pseudomonadati; Pseudomonadota; Betaproteobacteria; Burkholderiales; Comamonadaceae
Description: bacterial SSU rRNA
Rfam family: Bacterial small subunit ribosomal RNA
Source: RNAcentral
AUUGAACGCUGGCGGCAUGCCUUACACAUGCAAGUCGAACGGUAACAGGUCUUCGGACGCUGACGAGUGGCGAACGGGUGAGUAAUACAUCGGAACGUGCCCAGUCGUGGGGGAUAACUACUCGAAAGAGUAGCUAAUACCGCAUACGAUCUGAGGAUGAAAGCGGGGGACCUUCGGGCCUCGCGCGAUUGGAGCGGCCGAUGGCAGAUUAGGUAGUUGGUGGGAUAAAAGCUUACCAAGCCGACGAUCUGUAGCUGGUCUGAGAGGACGACCAGCCACACUGGGACUGAGACACGGCCCAGACUCCUACGGGAGGCAGCAGUGGGGAAUUUUGGACAAUGGGCGAAAGCCUGAUCCAGCAAUGCCGCGUGCAGGAUGAAGGCCUUCGGGUUGUAAACUGCUUUUGUACGGAACGAAAAAGCUCCUUCUAAUACAGGGGGCCCAUGACGGUACCGUAAGAAUAAGCACCGGCUAACUACGUGCCAGCAGCCGCGGUAAUACGUAGGGUGCGAGCGUUAAUCGGAAUUACUGGGCGUAAAGCGUGCGCAGGCGGUUAUGUAAGACAGAUGUGAAAUCCCCGGGCUCAACCUGGGAACUGCAUUUGUGACUGCAUGGCUAGAGUACGGUAGAGGGGGAUGGAAUUCCGCGUGUAGCAGUGAAAUGCGUAGAUAUGCGGAGGAACACCGAUGGCGAAGGCAAUCCCCUGGACCUGUACUGACGCUCAUGCACGAAAGCGUGGGGAGCAAACA